This is a ribosomal RNA of Erinaceus europaeus (western European hedgehog), 138 nucleotides long. NCBI's taxonomy places the organism in Eukaryota, Metazoa, Chordata, Mammalia, Eulipotyphla, Erinaceidae. The record is from Ensembl.
GUCUACGGCCAUACCACCCCUGAACACGCCCGAUCUCGUCUGAUCUUGGAAGAAAGUGAGAGAGGAGGGGGAAAUAGAGAGGGAGAGAGACAUCUGCAGCCCUGCUUCACCACUCAUGAAGCCUUACCCCUGCAGAUG